AAGCGUGGGGAGCGAACAGGAUUAGAUACCCUGGUAGUCCACGCCGUAAACGUUGGGCGCUAGAUGUAGGGACCUUUCCACGGUUUAUGUGUCGUAGCUAACGCAUUAAGCGCCCCGCCUGGGGAGUACGGCCGCAAGGCUAAAACUCAAAGGAAUUGACGGGGGCCCGCACAAGCGGCGGAGCAUGCGGAUUAAUUCGAUGCAACGCGAAGAACCUUACCAAGGCUUGACAUACACCGGAAACGGCCAGAGAUGGUCGCCCCCUUGUGGUCGGUGUACAGGUGGUGCAUGGUUGUCGUCAGCUCGUGUCGUGAGAUGUUGGGUUAAGUCCCGCAACGAGCGCAACCCUCGUUCUAUGUUGCCAGCGCGUUAUGGCGGGGACUCAUAGGAGACUGCCGGGGUCAACUCGGAGGAAGGUGGGGAUGACGUCAAAUCAUCAUGCCCCUUAUGUCUUGGGCUUCACGCAUGCUACAAUGGCCGGUACAAAGGGCUGCGAUACCGUAAGGUGGAGCGAAUCCCAAAAAGCCGGUCUCAGUUCGGAUUGAGGUCUGCAACUCGACCUCAUGAAGUCGGAGUCGCUAGUAAUCGCAGAUCAGCAACGCUGCGGUGAAUACGUUCCCGGGCCUUGUACACACCGCCCGUCAAGUCAUGAAAGUCGGUAACACCCGAAGCCGGUGGCCUAAC
Molecule: ribosomal RNA, 684 nt
Filed under: Curtobacterium sp.
Lineage: Bacteria; Bacillati; Actinomycetota; Actinomycetes; Micrococcales; Microbacteriaceae
Description: bacterial SSU rRNA
Rfam family: Bacterial small subunit ribosomal RNA
Source: RNAcentral